This 344-nucleotide long non-coding RNA is filed under the name Mus pahari (shrew mouse). RNAcentral's name for it is "lncRNA (MGP_PahariEiJ_G0005486.1)". The record is from RNAcentral. Lineage: Eukaryota; Metazoa; Chordata; Mammalia; Rodentia; Muridae.
UGGAUCCUUCCCAGUAGGUGGAGUGGUUCCAACAACCGAGCUGUCUGAUAGCCACCAGCCUAGAACAUUAUUUUCAGGCCCAAGGAAGCGGUAGCGAGGUUUAAAACAUAAGCUACUGAAGAGGUUGUUCUGCUAUCUGUUGUAUCUAUGCUGGACACACUGGCAUGCCAAGUCUGCACUUCCAGACCCAUCACUUUACGCCCGCCCCCCAACACAGCCAGCUCUGUGUCUUUAGACGUUCUUAGACCUAGUCAAUGGUGGACUUGUACAAGCGUUUGGAGAGCAGAAAACCAGAAGUCUAGAAUACUGUCAUGUGUAUCCAUUAAAUGUUCAUGGUUGAGCCA